UACGGAGGGAGCUAGCGCUGUUCGGAAUUACUGGGCGUAAAGCGCACGUAGGCGGCUUUGUAAGUUAGAGGUGAAAUCCCCGGGCUUAACCUGGGAACCGCAUUUGUGACUGCAUAGCUGGAGUACGGCAGAGGGGGAUGGAAUUCCGCGUGUAGCAGUGAAAUGCGUAGAUAUGCGGAGGAACACCGAUGGCGAAGGCGGGUCUCUGGGCCGAUACUGACGCUGAGGAGCGAAAGCGUGGGGAGCGAACAGG
RNAcentral lists this ribosomal RNA (253 nucleotides) under uncultured bacterium. Its description in RNAcentral is "partial 16S ribosomal RNA". It matches the Rfam family "Bacterial small subunit ribosomal RNA", at positions 524 to 776 of the family's 1533-position model. The record is from RNAcentral.